RNAcentral lists this ribosomal RNA (370 nucleotides) under uncultured bacterium. RNAcentral describes it as "bacterial SSU rRNA". It matches the Rfam family "Bacterial small subunit ribosomal RNA", at positions 527 to 896 of the family's 1533-position model. The record is from RNAcentral.
GAAGGGGGCUAGCGUUGCUCGGCAUCACUGGGCGUAAAGGGUGCGUAGGCGGGUCUUUAAGUCAGGGGUGAAAUCCUGGAGCUCAACUCCAGAACUGCCUUUGAUACUGAAGAUCUUGAGUCCGGGAGAGGUGAGUGGAACUGCGAGUGUAGAGGUGAAAUUCGUAGAUAUUCGCAAGAACACCAGUGGCGAAGGCGGCUCACUGGCCCGGUACUGACGCUGAGGCACGAAAGCGUGGGGAGCAAACAGGAUUAGAUACCCUGGUAGUCCACGCCGUAAACGGANNAAUGCCAGCCGUUAGUGGGUUUACUCACUAGUGGCGCAGCUAACGCUUUAAGCAUUCCGCCNGGGGAGUACGGUCGCAAGAUUA